Schistocerca nitens (vagrant locust) is the source of this 77-nucleotide non-coding RNA. NCBI's taxonomy places the organism in Eukaryota, Metazoa, Arthropoda, Insecta, Orthoptera, Acrididae. The record is from the annotation of a RefSeq genome assembly.
UCCGGUGUGGUCUAGUGGCUAGGAUACCUGGCUUUCACCCAGGAGGCCCGGGUUCGAUUCCCGGUAGCGUAACGGAA